AUGGUUCAUGAAUCAGAACAUUUUAUUCCAGGUCACUUUCACACAGGGAGGGUGGGUGGUGCGAAGCUCUCUUUGUUCAUGGCUGUGGGGAGCCUCCAGCUGCCUGAGGGAAGACGGUGCGGUGCAGGCUGACACUGGCUGUGCUUCCUUGUCCUUAGGUCAAAGGCUUUAUUGAAAGCUACAGAAAGCUCUGGCUGAGUGACUGCGGAAAGACGGGAGUGAGUGUGCCAUGGUCUGAUCCUGUCCUUGUCUGGGUCUGUGUAGUUCAGGUAGUUAAAUUUUCAACUGUGUCAUGUCACUGUGGAUAUCCUCAUUCUUCUCAGCAGCAUGAAAACCAGAUGAUUAUCCAGUCUCUCCAUCUGUGUGGCUGAGGACAGGAGUGCUCCAUGGUCUGGUCCAUUCCCUGCCAGGGCCUGCAUCUGCAAAAAGAAGGAUAACAAGCAAAGGCAGCAGCCACCCUCGUUCAUCUGGGCAACCCCUGCUCAGGGCUCAGACAGACUCCAUGACUUAACUUUGUGUCAGCAUGCCUUGUGGAAGGAAGCAAAUCUCUGGCUGUGUGUCUGAGACAGGAGCGCCCCACGGUCUGGUCCGUUCCCUGUCUGGGCCUGCGUCUGCAAAAAGCAGGAGAAAAAAUGACACAGCAGCCAUGCUGGCUCACCACGGGCAACCCCUGCCCAGGGCUCUGCCAGACUCCGUCACUUAACUUUGUGUCUGUGUCCUUAUGGAAGGUAGCGAAUCUUCGUGCCUGAGUGGCUGAGGACCGGAGUGCGCCAUGGUCUGAUCUUUCCCGUUGCGUGCCUGUGGCUGCAAAAGAGAAGAUAACUGCAGAGCAGCCACCCCUGCUCACCAUGCGCAACCCCUGGCCAGGGCCCUGCCAGACUCGAAGACUUAACUUUGUGUCCUUGCAGCAGGUGGCGAACGUCUGGCUGUGUGGUUGUCGUCAGGAGUGCGCCGUGUUCCGGUCCUGUCCUUCUGUGAGCUUCUGGCUCUGGAAGUGAAAGGAGGAGCAGCCACCAUCUGCUGCGCCUCAGGCAGCCGCUGCCUCCCUGCCCGGGCCCAGCAGCCCGGCCCUCCCCUCACUGCCUUCCUCCUGAACUCUCGCCUGAGCCCUGGCUCA
Molecule: long non-coding RNA, 1117 nt
Filed under: Strigops habroptila (Kakapo)
Lineage: Eukaryota; Metazoa; Chordata; Aves; Psittaciformes; Psittacidae
Description: lncRNA (ENSSHBG00005002664.1)
Source: RNAcentral